UGUUGUUGCAUUAGUAAUUGAACUUAGUACGAGAGGAACCGUUCAUUCGGAUAAUUGGUAUUUGGGCCUGCCUGAGCAGGCAAUGGCCCGAAGCUAUCAUCCGUUGGCUUGUAGCUGAAUAUCUCUAAUUCAGAACCCGUGCUAGAACACGACGAUUACCACCUUGGCCAUUUUAGUUGAAUACAAAUAGACCUACGGUCCAGAAUCAUACGAACGUGGGGUUAUGUUGGAGAGCGGAGAGGCUCUGUGAUAUUCCCACUAAUGUUAAUUUCAAAUAUUGUCAAGGAUAAAGCCAUUGCAGAUGGCUUUAAUUGAACGGGGUAUUGUAAGCAGUAGAGUAGCCUUGUUGCUACGAUCUGCUGAGAUUAAGCCCAUUGUUCUAUGGAUUU
RNAcentral lists this non-coding RNA (389 nucleotides) under Linnemannia elongata AG-77. RNAcentral's name for it is "Mortierella elongata AG-77 Eukaryotic large subunit ribosomal RNA". It matches the Rfam family "Eukaryotic large subunit ribosomal RNA", at positions 3006 to 3399 of the family's 3401-position model. The record is from Rfam by way of RNAcentral. Lineage: Eukaryota; Fungi; Mortierellomycota; Mortierellomycetes; Mortierellales; Mortierellaceae.